AGGGUGAAAGAUUGUUAGUAAAAUCACCCCCAAGGUGGCCGGCCUUUGUAGUGUUUUAGAGAGAUAUUUCUUUUGCCUCUUUGUUGUUUUAAACACACAAAAACCCUAAGGAAUAAAUCUCUAUAAAGUUCCUUAUAUAGACAAAAAGAAACCUAGUCAACAACUUGACUAAAUAUCUCUCCCUUUCCACUUAAAGUGGCCAG
RNAcentral lists this long non-coding RNA (203 nucleotides) under Malus domestica (apple). Its description in RNAcentral is "long non-coding RNA (MDOM_LNC005850)". Lineage: Eukaryota; Viridiplantae; Streptophyta; Magnoliopsida; Rosales; Rosaceae. The record is from RNAcentral.